GGAUCCACCUGCUAAGUUUUGUCCAGUGCGUAAUUUACUCUCGUCCUUAUAUCACAACACGACAUGUGACUCGAAGUUCGAGUUUGAGAUGUCGGCUAUGGUCGUGGGCUCUAAGCUAGGCGGCUGGGAAUCAUAGGGUGAACUUAUGGAUCAUCAUCUCCACAAUUUUUGUAUGUAACCUGGUCCCCUUUUCUCGAUAGUGUUUUAAGUUACAUUAUUACACAUUUACACCUAUGAGUAGGUGGUGCGAUAUUUUCUGCGGGUAUUUCACUGUACUUAAUGGUUCAAUUAUUGCGUUCAUCUUGACCAAUCUUGUUGUCGGUCGAUAUUUUUUCUUUCUUCAAUAUUUUUCGUAUUUGUGUGACACAUUUUUUUGCUUGCCAAGUGUCAUGUUGAUAUAAAUAAUUGUCAAGCCUAAUUAAGAAACUUUUAUGAUAUUACAGAAACCACGAUUCAUAUGAAACAUAUGAGUGUCUCUUAGUUAUGGCCUAUGGGAAACGCUUAUCACUAUCAUGUCAGUAUGUCACUAUGUUGAUCUUACAAACCGAUUGAAAUUUUAUCAUAUAGCAUAUAUCAAUACGUCCCUGUUAAUGACCUUGUCAUAAAAUUAAAAUAAAUAAACUCCAAAUUAGCUAGCUUUGAAUCAACUGAUACUAGUUUUUUUACUGUAGAUGUGAAAGCUAGUAAUUGCUGAAUAAAAUGAAAACAACUUUCUAUGAAACUAAAGGAGAGUAUGUUUCUAGAAUUGUAAUGCACAUAUAUAUAUUAAAGUUCAAUAUAUACGUGUGUGUGUAUCUGGUUGUUCAAUACAAACAUGGAAAUAAGUAUAAAAGAUUUGAUAAAAAUUUAGUAAAAAAAAAAGAUUUGAUAAAAGGGGUUUUUGCCAAAACUAACCCACAACUUGAUUUUAAUCCCAAACCUAUACCCAAACUUGAAUCAAAUGCAAAACUAACCUAAAAGCCUAGUGAAAUUACAGCUCAGCCCCUUGUGACCAAACAAAAAAACAGAAGCCAUUUUUACGAAUAUAGCCCCAUUAAAUCGUCUGAGUCGUCUGAGAUGUUGGAAGUCGUCUGGACGACUGAAGUGUAAGUCGUCUGGUACCAGUUUAUUUUAAAAAUAAUUUAUAAAUCUUGUAAAAAAAUAUUUUGAUGCGUAAAAAAUAAAAAUCAAGUAAUUAUAAACAGUUUUAACUAAUAUAAAUUAAGAUAUGAUAAAAUUGAUUUGUUUUGAAGAUAGAUGAGUGAAAGUAGUGAAUCAUGAAAUACUUUGGUUUAGGAGUUUGGCAAACAUAUGUUGUAGUAUUGUAUGUAUUGUUAGGGUUAGAUUUUGGAAAACUAAAAUAUUUUUUUCAAAAAUUAGUUUUCACCUAUAUGUGUUUAUUUUUGUGUAUAGUAAACACUUUUCAAGUUUGAUUUGGUUUUAUGAAGUGUUUAAUUAGAUAAUUAAGUUUAGGGGUUAUGUUUAGGGUGUGGACGACUUAUAUUUCAGUCGUCUGUUGAAUAAUUUACCCGGACGACGUAUAUUUCAGUCGUCCAGACGACUUACUUGUAAGUCGUCUGGGAAGUCUUCUAUUUUAGUUUCCCGCUAAAAAUAUUUAAUUUCCCGCUAAAAAUAUUAAACUCUUCUGGACGACUUACAUGUAAGUCGUCUGUUUUAAUUUCUUCACCAGACGACUGAAAUGUAAGUCGUCCAGGAAGUCGUCUGAGUCAAAAAUAUUUAAUCUAAUUGGAUUUUUUGUCUCCCUAUAAAAAGAAAAAUUUACACAUUCUCUCUCCUCCUCUCAAAUGGCUGCAACAAAAAUGUAAUGUUCAUCAUUCUAAAACUCUCCAACCUCUCUCUAAUUUCUUUGACUUCAAAACACCAAACUUUAUAUGAAUUUUUCAGUUUUGUCUCAUGUAUUUCUUACUAAUCUAUCUCUUUUGCAGGUUUUUAAUCAAAUGGUACUCAUCUUCCACUAAUUUAGAGGUAGAUCUAUUAAUUUUAGAUAUGUAUUUUUGUGUGUUCUAUAAAUGUAGAUUUAUCUAAUCUUCCACUCAUUUUCUCUAUUUUUAAGUCAUUUGAACGUUUUUGGAUAUGCAGGUUUUUCAGAUCUGGAUUUGAUGUGCAG
This 2107-nucleotide long non-coding RNA is filed under the name Brassica rapa (field mustard). RNAcentral describes it as "long non-coding RNA (BRAP_LNC000247)". The record is from RNAcentral. Lineage: Eukaryota; Viridiplantae; Streptophyta; Magnoliopsida; Brassicales; Brassicaceae.